GAAUGCGAUAAGUAGUGUGAAUUGCAGAAUUCAGUGAAUCAUCGAAUCUUUGAACGCACAUUGCGCCCCUUGGUAUUCCAUGGGGCAUGCCUGUUCGAGCGUCAUUUGUACCCUCAAGCUCUGCUUGGUGUUGGGUGUUUGUCCCCGUCUCCGCGCGUGGACUCGCCCCAAAGUGAUUGGCAGCCGGCGUACUGGUCCCGGCGCGCAGCACAUGUCGCGCAAACGAGUGCCUUGGUACGGCGGCGUCCAUAAGCCCCUCUCUCACGCUCUUGACCUCGGAUCAGGUAGGGAUACCCGCUGAACUUAAGC
RNAcentral lists this unclassified non-coding RNA (309 nucleotides) under plant metagenome. RNAcentral's name for it is "partial contains 5.8S ribosomal RNA, internal transcribed spacer 2, and large subunit ribosomal RNA". The stretch from base 1 to 104 matches the Rfam family "5.8S ribosomal RNA", at positions 51 to 154 of the family's 154-position model. The record is from RNAcentral.